RNAcentral lists this ribosomal RNA (460 nucleotides) under uncultured bacterium. RNAcentral's name for it is "partial 16S ribosomal RNA". It matches the Rfam family "Bacterial small subunit ribosomal RNA", at positions 338 to 795 of the family's 1533-position model. The record is from RNAcentral.
CCUACGGGUGGCAGCAGUGAGGAAUAUUGGUCAAUGGACGCGAGUCUGAACCAGCCAAGUCGCGUGAAGGAAGACGGCCCUAUGGGUUGUAAACUUCUUUUGUCGGGGAGCAAAAGCAGCCACGCGUAUCGUUCUGAGAGUACCCUACGAAUAAGGAUCGGCUAACUCCGUGCCAGCAGCCGCGGUAAUACGGAGGAUUCGAGCGUUUUCCGGAUUUAUUGGGUUUAAAGGGUGCGUAGGCGGGAUGUUAAGUCAGCGGUGAAAUUUGGGGGCUCAACCUCUUCCGGGCCUUUGAUACUGGUUGGCUUGAGUGAGGGAGAAGUAUGCGGAAUGCGUGGUGUAGCGGUGAAAUGCUUAGAGAUCACGCAGAACUCCGAUUGCGAAGGCAGCAUACCGGCCCUCAACUGACGUUCAUGCACGAAAGUGUGGGUAUCGAACAGGAUUAGAUACCCGUGUAGUG